GAUGAACGCUGGCGGCGUGCCUAAUACAUGCAAGUAGAACGCUGAAGGAGGAGCUUGCUCUUCUGGAUGAGUUGCGAACGGGUGAGUAACGCGUAGGUAACCUGCCUGGUAGCGGGGGAUAACUAUUGGAAACGAUAGCUAAUACCGCAUGACAACAGUUAUUGCAUGAUAACUGUUUAAAAGGGGCAACUGCUCCACUACCAGAUGGACCUGCGUUGUAUUAGCUAGUUGGUGAGGUAACGGCUCACCAAGGCGACGAUACAUAGCCGACCUGAGAGGGUGAUCGGCCACACUGGGACUGAGACACGGCCCAGACUCCUACGGGAGGCAGCAGUAGGGAAUCUUCGGCAAUGGACGGAAGUCUGACCGAGCAACGCCGCGGGAGUGAAGAAGGUUUUCGGAUCGUAAAGCUCUGUUGUAAGAGAAGAACGAGUGUGAGAGUGGAAAGUUCACACUGUGACGGUAUCUUACCAGAAAGGGACGGCUAACUACGUG
This 495-nucleotide ribosomal RNA is filed under the name uncultured bacterium. RNAcentral's name for it is "partial 16S ribosomal RNA". It matches the Rfam family "Bacterial small subunit ribosomal RNA", at positions 28 to 507 of the family's 1533-position model. The record is from RNAcentral.